CUGGGUCAUGGAUUGGUUUCUUCAUUCAUUUAGUUCCAUUUAUCCUCGAUGAGGUCACUGAUUUCCUGGACCCUCAGUUGAUGUUUUACUCAUGUCGAUGCCUUUGGAUUCUGAAACUCAGGGUUUGUGAUCAUUGGGAUAUCUCUUCCAGUUUUGGGAAAGGAUCUUCUACAUUUGGUGGGCUUCCCUCCCGGCAGUUCCAUACUGCAAACCCACACGGCGGAAGGAUAAAACUGACAGGUUUCAAGCAGGAGCUAUACAAGACAAAGCAGUCUGAUACAGUCAAGCCUACAGCCAGAGGAAAGUAAGAAGACACAUGAACACUGACACUAACAACCCUUGCCUCAUCCUGUCUUUCUAAUUAUCUACGAAAAUGACAUAUGUGUGCUGUUCCAAGUAUGUCUCUGAGACAAAUCUCAGUCAAGGUCAUGUGAACCCACAGAGGAAGUUCCAAUGACAAAGUGUUCGGUGGAAAAGACUGAGCUGGGAUGAGACUAGUUUAUCCCCUUUUCUACAAGUUCUUCUGCACACAGAUACUUAGUGAUGGCAGGAACUUCAGAGCUCUGGUUCUUAUCGUCAGAGCCCCUUUCUGUAGGUAGGUGGCUGUCCUAGUGACUUCUCUAUUGCUAUGAUGAAAUAUCAUGACUAAGACCGCUUAGAGAAGGAAAGGGUUUAUUGGGGGCUUGCAUAUAGUUUCAGAGGUUGAGACACGACCAUCAUGGCAGGGUGCAUUGCAGCAAGCAAGCAAGCAUGGCAGUGGAGUAGUAACUGAGAGCUUAGGUAGUCAUCCAAGUGGAAUGGUGUUGGGCUUUGGAAACCUCCAAGUCCACACCCAGAGAAAUGCCUCCUCUAACAAGGCCACACCUACUCACCCUUCCCAAACAGUUUCCACUAAAUGGGGAGCAAAAAUUCAAACAUGAGUUAUGGGGACCAUUCUCAUUCAAAUCACCACAGUGGUUUUCCUUUUUGUUAUGUGUUUCCCUUAGCUUGGUAACCAGGCUACAAUCCACAGCCCCAGAGAAGCUAGGUAGCAAGGAGGAUUCAAAGAGGGAUGCAUGGAUUUCCCUGGGAAGGGGAAGGAGAUGAGAUCUCCUGGGUAAACUGGGGGUGGAUUGGGGGAUGGAGAGAUGAGAAAAUAAGGGAUUGAGUUUGUCAGGUUGGGAUAGGGACAGAGGGGAAGAGUAAUGAAAGGUAUAUCUCAAUAGGGGGACCAUUUUGGGGUUAGGGAGUAACCUGGUGCAAGGGAAACUCCCAGGAAUCUUCAAGUAUGACCCCAGCUAUGACUCCUAGCAAUAGUGGAGAGGGAGCCUAAACUGACUUUCUCCUGUAAUCAGAUAGGUGACUACCCUAAUUGUCAUCAGAGAACCUUCAUCCAGUAAUUGAUGGAAGCAGAUGCAGAGAUCCAUGGUCAAGCACUGGGUUGAGCUCCAGGAAUCCAGUUGAAGAGAGGGAGGAGGGAUUAUAUGAGCCAGGAAGAUCAAGAUCAUGACAGCAGCACCCAGAGAGACAACUGACCUGAGCUAGUGGGAGCUCACGGAUUUUGGACCAACAGCUAGGGAGCCUGUGUGGGACAAACCUAGGUCCUCUGUGUGUGGAUAGUUAAAUAAACUAUGGUAUAUUUACACCAGUGAGUUCUAUGCAUAAACAGUCACUUGGAUGACUCCAUGAUAUUACACUGAAUGAAGAGGAGCCAACUCCAAAACAUUUUUCUUUAUGUAUUUCCACUUGCCUAACAUGUUUAAAAUGACUAGGUUUCAGGAAUGGAAGACAGAUUAGUCAUUGCCAAAGCCAGAGGACAGGGAAGAACUCAAGAGCGGAAACAUAUUUGAGGAGUAGAAAACUUUCUUAUGCCUAGCUCAAACUUGGCUCAGUACUAGGGGCCAUGAAGACUCUGGAAUCUCUCUAAGGAGCUGGGUAACCUUGGGGAGGUGUGUGAUGCCUGACGGUUAAUUUCAGCACCUCCAGAGCAGGAAAGAGGCUGGGGUUGUUGUUCUCUAUAGCACCCAUCUUCAGAGGGUCCUCGGAUUCCCAAAUACUGUCAGAGAAGGUUUAAAAGAGGAUCCACUUAACAGCUCUUGUCGGCAGCUAGCAUCUAGUCAUCACUAGCAUAGGACAGGCAAGCAGAACUAUCAACCAAUUGCUACCUGAUUAUAAGCCCUGCAAGGAUUCUUCCAGCAACCCAAGCAGAUUCCUCAGAUGCCACUAAAGGCGAAGCAGAGGAACAACUGUACUCUGGCCAUCCAUCCUUCAGUGUUAUUUAUGAAGUUCAGACGUGAUCUUCAAGAGUCUCGAGAUUUGCAGUGUUGGCUUCGCCCUCAACACAACUGUGUUCCAUCAUUCACGGUUGUCACCAUUGUGACUGUCUAGAGGCUGCUGCUAAGGAUCCAUGAAAUGCUCUCUUUCUGGAAGGCCACAGGCCACUUGACCCUGGGCUCGUGUGUUUACAGAACUCCAAGUGCAGCUAUUAAAGACAUUGCUGCCCAUUUACAGACUGACGCUGGUUUGCUUUGUGCCCACAUGUCUCUUUAACCUCUGUUUCCUUUGCAGGGAAGAAAGAGAAUAUUUUCUCUCACUUUUCUUGUUGAAAUUCCAAUUGCUCCCCCAGAGGGAUCUCUCUGAGAAGCCACGGGGAACAAAGGCAAAGGAACUCAUACUCUGUUGCUCUCACUGUCUGUUCUAAAUAUGCAUGAAAAAUUCUUCUCUUUCCUCCCUGGUCUGGAUUUGGCUGAAAGUGUUUGCUGGGUAACAGGAAACCUAUGAGAAAAUCAGAGGCUUCAGUCCCUUGUGCCCCUCCCAGCCCUCAGAUCAAAGACACUUGGGGCUUAAAACUUUUUUAAAAGCUCUAAAAUUCAAGAUCAGAUUUAAAAUUCUGAAAUCAAUAUCAUAUUGCUGUUCUGCUCAAUGCUAUUUAUUCAUUUAUUUAUCUACCUUUUUGAAUUUGUAGACAGAGACUUACUACAUUACCCUGGCUGGCUUGUUUUUAUAUAAUCAUUAUACACGUGGCUCAUGGCUUUCUUUGAAAACAAGUAUUACUGGAAAAUGUACAUGUUUGCAGAUACAUAGCAUUUUGCAUUAUGGUUUCAGGGAGUCUCAGGCCAGCUAAACUGCCCUCAGCCAACCUGGGGACGGCAGCUGUGAGUUAGAACUAAAAUAUUAGGUAAUCAAGAGAAGGAAAUAGUCAACUAAAUAUGUAAAGCAAAGAAGUGUCUGUCUUAUGCUCCAAAAUUCUGAA
Molecule: long non-coding RNA, 3232 nt
Organism: Alexandromys fortis (reed vole)
Lineage: Eukaryota; Metazoa; Chordata; Mammalia; Rodentia; Cricetidae
Exons: 3
Source: RefSeq, a predicted model, not a curated record